AAUAAAUUUUUUAUGGUUUAAAAAUUUUAUUUUAAGUUUAUUUUACAUAUAAAUUUUAGUGUUAAAUAUUAAUUAUUUAAAUAAUAUUUAAUUUUUAUGUAGUAAUUAGUUUUAAAAAUUUAAGAAAUUAAGAUUUAGUAAUAUUUAAAUUAAUAACUAAUUUUGUGCCAGCAGUUGCGGUUAUACAAAAGUUAAUUUAAAAUUUUUUAGUUGUUAAUAAUUAAUUAAUUAAAUAAUUUAAAUUUAAUAUUAUUAAGUGAAAUUUUAAUUUUAUAAAAAAUUAUUAUAUAUUUAUGAAUUAAUAAAUUUUAUUAAAAACUAGGAUUAGAUACCCUAUUAUUAAAAAUUUAAAUUUAAUAAUACUAAAAUAGUAAGUUAUUAUAUUGAAACUUAAAUAAUUUGGCGGUAUUUUAGUUUAUUUAGAGGAAUCUGUUUAAUAAUUGAUAAUCCACGAAUAAAUUUACUUAAUUUAAAAUUUUGUAUAUCGUUGUUAAAAAAAUAUUUUAAAAUAAAAAUAAUAUUUGAAAAUUUAAAUUAAAAAUUAAAUCAGAUCAAGAUGCAGAUUAUAAUUAAGAAUAUAAUGGAUUACAAUAAAUUUAUUUAAAUUGGAUUUUAAUAUGAAAAGAUUAAAUGAAAUUGGAUUUAAAUGUAAUUUUAUUUAAAUUAAUAAAAUGAUUAUUAAUUAAAAUAUGUACAUAUUGCCCGUCGCUUUCAUUUAUAAAUUGGAAUAAGUCGUAACAAAGUAGAGGUACUGGAAAGUGUUUCUAGAAAGAU
RNAcentral lists this non-coding RNA (774 nucleotides) under Ampelophaga rubiginosa. Lineage: Eukaryota; Metazoa; Arthropoda; Insecta; Lepidoptera; Sphingidae. The record is from RNAcentral.